This 451-nucleotide ribosomal RNA is filed under the name uncultured bacterium. RNAcentral's name for it is "bacterial SSU rRNA". It matches the Rfam family "Bacterial small subunit ribosomal RNA", at positions 354 to 796 of the family's 1533-position model. The record is from RNAcentral.
GUGGGGAAUAUUGGACAAUGGGCGGAAGCCUGAUCCAGCCAUGCCGCGUGUGUGAAGAAGGCCUUUUGGUUGUAAAGCACUUUAAGCGGGGAGGAGGCUCUUGAGGAUAAUACCCUUGAUGAGUGGACGUUACCCGCAGAAUAAGCACCGGCUAACUCUGUGCCAGCAGCCGCGGUAAUACAGAGGGUGCGAGCGUUAAUCGGAUUUACUGGGCGUAAAGCGUGCGUAGGCGGCUUUUUAAGUCGGAUGUGAAAUCCCCGAGCUUAACUUGGGAAUUGCAUUCGAUACUGGGAAGCUAGAGUAUGGGAGAGGAUGGUAGAAUUCCAGGUGUAGCGGUGAAAUGCGUAGAGAUCUGGAGGAAUACCGAUGGCGAAGGCAGCCAUCUGGCCUAAUACUGACGCUGAGGUACGAAAGCAUGGGGAGCAAACAGGAUUAGAAACCCGUGUAGUCC